Photobacterium damselae subsp. damselae CIP 102761 is the source of this 155-nucleotide non-coding RNA. It matches the Rfam family "sok antitoxin (CssrC)". From Rfam's summary of the family: Also identified in Shigella as CssrC. NCBI's taxonomy places the organism in Bacteria, Pseudomonadati, Pseudomonadota, Gammaproteobacteria, Vibrionales, Vibrionaceae. The record is from Rfam.
GGGUGCUUGAGGCUGUCUGUCUCAAGCAUUUUGCAAAAGACAGAUAGUAGAAAGCCCCGAAUGAACUAUAAAUUCAAACGAGGCUCACUAGAUGUACAUAGACAAUACAGAUAGUAGUCUCUUUCUUGAAAGGAGGCAAUACAAUGCCUAAAAAG